CGCGGCCUAUCAGCUUGUUGGUGGGGUAACGGCCCACCAAGGCAUCGACGGGUAGCUGGUCUGAGAGGACGAUCAGCCACACUGGGACUGAGACACGGCCCAGACUCCUACGGGAGGCAGCAGUGGGGAAUAUUGCGCAAUGGGCGAAAGCCUGACGCAGCAACGCCGCGUGGGGGAUGAAGGCCUUCGGGUUGUAAACCCCUUUCAGCAGGGACGAAAAUGACGGUACCUGCAGAAGAAGCCCCGGCCAACUACGUGCCAGCAGCCGCGGUAACACGUAGGGGGCAAGCGUUGUCCGGAUUUAUUGGGCGUAAAGAGCUCGUAGGCGGUUGCGUAAGUCGGAUGUGAAAACUCAGGGCUCAACCCGGAGACGCCAUCCGAUACUGCGCUGACUAGAGUCCGGUAGAGGAGCAUGGAAUUCCUGGUGUAGCGGUGAAAUGCGCAGAUAUCAGGAGGAACACCAGUGGCGAAGGCGGUGCUCUGGGCCGGCACUGACGCUGAGGAGCGAAAGCGUGGGUAGCGAACAGGAUUAGAUACCCUGGUAGUCCACGCCGUAAACGUUGGGCACUAGGUGUGGGGCCUCCUUAACGGGUUCCGUGCCGUAGCUAACGCAUUAAGUGCCCCGCCUGGGGAGUACGG
RNAcentral lists this ribosomal RNA (639 nucleotides) under uncultured bacterium. RNAcentral's name for it is "bacterial SSU rRNA". It matches the Rfam family "Bacterial small subunit ribosomal RNA", at positions 232 to 885 of the family's 1533-position model. The record is from RNAcentral.